AGUAGUUUCGAUCCGUGGCUCGAGGACGAACGCUGGCGGCGUGCUUAACACAUGCAAGUCGAACGAUGAACCAGGGCUUGCCCUGGGGAUUAGUGGCGAACGGGUGAGUAACACGUGGGCAACCUGCCCCAGACACCGGGAUAACCUCUCGAAAGAGUGGCUAAUACCGGAUAUGACCACUUCGGGCAUCCGACGGUGGUGGAAAGGAUUCUGGUCUGGGAUGGGCCCGCGGCCUAUCAGCUAGUUGGUGGGGGUAAUGGCCUACCAAGGCGACGACGGGUAGCCGGCCUGAGAGGGCGACCGGCCACACUGGGACUGAGACACGGCCCAGACUCCUACGGGAGGCAGCAGUGGGGAAUAUUGCGCAAUGGGCGAAAGCCUGACGCAGCGACGCCGCGUGAGGGACGAAGGUCUUCGGAUUGUAAACCUCUUUCAGCAGGGACGAAGCGAAAGUGACUGUACCUGCAGAAGAAGCACCGGCUAACUACGUG
RNAcentral lists this ribosomal RNA (491 nucleotides) under uncultured bacterium. RNAcentral's name for it is "bacterial SSU rRNA". It matches the Rfam family "Bacterial small subunit ribosomal RNA", at positions 1 to 507 of the family's 1533-position model. The record is from RNAcentral.